Molecule: ribosomal RNA, 455 nt
Filed under: uncultured bacterium
Lineage: Bacteria
Description: bacterial SSU rRNA
Rfam family: Bacterial small subunit ribosomal RNA
Source: RNAcentral
UACGGAAGGCAGCAGUGGGAAUAUUGCACAAUGGGCGAAAGCCUGAUGCAGCUAUGCCGCGUGUAUGAAGAAGGCCUUAGGGUUGUAAAGUACUUUCAUCGGGGAGGAAAACAAAACUAAUAAUUUUAUUUCUUGACGUUACCCGAAAAAGAAGCACCGGCUAACUCCGUGCCAGCAGCCGCGGUAAUACGGAGGGUGCUAGCGUUAAUCAGAAUUACUGGGCGUAAAGAGCACGUAGGUGGUUUUUUUAAAGUCAGAUGUGAAAUCCCUGGGCUUAACCUAGGAACUGCAUUUUGAAACUGAAAUACUAGAGUAUCGUAGAGGGAGGUAGAAUUCUAGGUGUAGCGGUGAAAUGCGUAGAUAUCUGGAGGAAUACCUGUGGCGAAAGCGGCCUCCUAAACGAAUACUGACACUGAGGGUGCGAAAGCGUGGGGAGCAAACAGGGAUUAGAUACC